AUUUCGGUAUGGGAUGGGGAUGCGUUCCAUUAGUUAGUUGGCGGGGUAACGGCCCACCAAGACAACGAUGGAUAGGGGUUCUGAGAGGAAGGUCCCCCACAUUGGAACUGAGACACGGUCCAAACUCCUACGGGAGGCAGCAGUGAGGAAUAUUGGUCAAUGGACGAGAGUCUGAACCAGCCAAGUAGCGUGAAGGAUGACUGCCCUAUGGGUUGUAAACUUCUUUUAUAUGGGAAUAAAAUGUUCCACGUGUGGGAUUUUGUAUGUACCAUAUGAAUAAGGAUCGGCUAACUCCGUGCCAGCAGCCGCGGUAAUACGGAGGAUCCGAGCGUUAUCCGGAUUUAUUGGGUUUAAAGGGAGCGUAGGUGGAUUGUUAAGUCAGUUGUGAAAGUUUGCGGCUCAACCGUAAAAUUGCAGUUGAAACUGGCAGUCUUGAGUACAGUAGAGGUGGGCGGAAUUCGUGGUGUAGCGGUGAAAUGCUUAGAUAUCACGAAGAACUCCGAUUGCGAAGGCAGCUCACUGGACUGCAACUGACACUGAGGCUCGAAAGUGUGGGUAUCAAACAGGAUUAGAUACCCUGGUAGUCCACACAGUAAACGAUGAAUACUCGCUGUUUGCGAUAUACGGCAA
RNAcentral lists this ribosomal RNA (630 nucleotides) under uncultured bacterium. RNAcentral's name for it is "bacterial SSU rRNA". It matches the Rfam family "Bacterial small subunit ribosomal RNA", at positions 212 to 842 of the family's 1533-position model. The record is from RNAcentral.